RNAcentral lists this ribosomal RNA (560 nucleotides) under uncultured Glomus. RNAcentral describes it as "SSU rRNA". It matches the Rfam family "Eukaryotic small subunit ribosomal RNA", at positions 546 to 1106 of the family's 1831-position model. The record is from RNAcentral. Lineage: Eukaryota; Fungi; Glomeromycota; Glomeromycetes; Glomerales; Glomeraceae.
AAUUGGAGGGCAAGUCUGGUGCCAGCAGCCGCGGUAAUUCCAGCUCCAAUAGCGUAUAUUAAAGUUGUUGCAGUUAAAAAGCUCGUAGUUGAAUUUCGGGAUCAAUAUUUCGGUCAUGCCGUUGGUAUGCACUGUUAUCAUUGAUCUCUCACCUUCUAAAGAACCAUAAUGCCAUUAAUUUGGUGUUACGGGGAAUUAGGACUGUUACCUUGAAAAAAUUAGAGUGUUUAAAGCAGGCUCACGCUUGAAUACAUUAGCAUGGAAUAAUGAAAUAGGACAUCCGAUUCUAUUUUGUUGGUUUCUAGGAUCGAUGUAAUGAUUAAUAGGGAUAGUUGGGGGCAUUAGUAUUCAAUUGUCAGAGGUGAAAUUCUUGGAUUUAUUGAAGACUAACUACUGCGAAAGCAUUUGCCAAGGAUGUUUUCAUUAAUCAAGAACGAAAGUUAGGGGAUCGAAGACGAUCAGAUACCGUCGUAGUCUUAACCAUAAACUAUGCCGACUAGGGAUCGGAUGAUGUUAAUUUUUUAAUGACUCAUUCGGCGCCUUACGGGAAACCAAAGUGU